RNAcentral lists this ribosomal RNA (497 nucleotides) under uncultured bacterium. RNAcentral describes it as "partial 16S ribosomal RNA". It matches the Rfam family "Bacterial small subunit ribosomal RNA", at positions 28 to 507 of the family's 1533-position model. The record is from RNAcentral.
GAUGAACGCUGGCGGCGUGCCUAAUACAUGCAAGUCGAGCGAACAGACGAGGAGCUUGCUCCUCUGACGUUAGCGGCGGACGGGUGAGUAACACGUGGAUAACCUACCUAUAAGACUGGGAUAACUUCGGGAAACCGGAGCUAAUACCGGAUAAUAUAUUGAACCGCAUGGUUCAAUGGUGAAAGACGGUUUUGCUGUCACUUAUAGAUGGAUCCGCGCCGCAUUAGCUAGUUGGUAAGGUAACGGCUUACCAAGGCAACGAUGCGUAGCCGACCUGAGAGGGUGAUCGGCCACACUGGAACUGAGACACGGUCCAGACUCCUACGGGAGGCAGCAGUAGGGAAUCUUCCGCAAUGGGCGAAAGCCUGACGGAGCAACGCCGCGUGAGUGAUGAAGGUCUUCGGAUCGUAAAACUCUGUUACUAGGGAAGAACAAAUGUGUAAGUAACUAUGCACGUCUUGACGGUACCUAAUCAGAAAGCCACGGCUAACUACGUG